AUAUAUAAACUGUCCUUGUUUCUUUCAAAUUGCCCCUUGUUGUGUGGUUUGUUUUCUGUUCUCUGUGGCAUGUAUGUUGUUUCAUUUAGCUUUUGUUUUUGUAGUGUUUAGAUGCUCUUAUCUUUUUACAAGCUUAGCACUCUUAACAACAGUCAAUUGUUCUGUAAUGUUUUCCAGUGGUAGAAUGUUGUAUAAUGGUUUUUUGAUUGGUCACUACCCUCGAGCAUAGAAAUUGCAGCAGGCAUCUGUAUCUGUGCGAAGUCUUCUUUAUUGACAUUCUUUGAUGCACUGUUUUCUGUGCAUUUGAGAGAAAACUCUUGGAUCACUAUGCAAUGUAUUGCACCUAUCAUAAGACAAUUUGGUACGCCUAGAGUCUUUCAAGGGCCAAGCGUGAAGAAAGAAAAGUUCCCAGUUAUCAUGGCAUAUUACCACUGAGCAGGUUUUGCUUUCGCCUUUCGCCCCCUUUUAAUUACGACCUCUUUUAAUUGUUUGAAAAUUAUCAUAGGUAGCAAUCUGUACAAUUCUAUCAGAAGAUGACCUUUUAUCUGA
This is a long non-coding RNA of Ananas comosus (pineapple), 549 nucleotides long. RefSeq lists it as uncharacterized. Lineage: Eukaryota; Viridiplantae; Streptophyta; Magnoliopsida; Poales; Bromeliaceae. The transcript is spliced from 2 exons. The record is from RefSeq and is a predicted model, not a curated record.